RNAcentral lists this ribosomal RNA (497 nucleotides) under uncultured bacterium. RNAcentral's name for it is "partial 16S ribosomal RNA". It matches the Rfam family "Bacterial small subunit ribosomal RNA", at positions 28 to 507 of the family's 1533-position model. The record is from RNAcentral.
GAUGAACGCUGGCGGCGUGCCUAAUACAUGCAAGUCGAGCGAACAGACGAGGAGCUUGCUCCUCUGACGUUAGCGGCGGACGGGUGAGUAACACGUGGAUAACCUACCUAUAAGACUGGGAUAACUUCGGGAAACCGGAGCUAAUACCGGAUAAUAUAUUGAACCGCAUGGUUCAAUAGUGAAAGACGGUUUUGCUGUCACUUAUAGAUGGAUCCGCGCCGCAUUAGCUAGUUGGUAAGGUAACGGCUUACCAAGGCAACGAUGCGUAGCCGACCUGAGAGGGUGAUCGGCCACACUGGAACUGAGACACGGUCCAGACUCCUACGAGAGGCAGCGGUAGGGAAUCAGCGGCAAUGGGCGAAAGCCUGACGGAGCAACGCCGAGUGAGUGAUGAAGGUCUUCGGAUCGUAAAACUCUGUUAUGAGGGAAGAACAAAUGUGUAAGUAACUAUGCACGUCUUGACGGUACCUAAUCAGAAAGCCACGGCUAACUACGUG